AGACAUAAAAGGUGGCUUCGGCUACCACUUACAGAUGGACCCGCGGCGCAUUAGCUAGUUGGUGAGGUAACGGCUCACCAAGGCGACGAUGCGUAGCCGACCUGAGAGGGUGAUCGGCCACACUGGGACUGAGACACGGCCCAGACUCCUACGGGAGGCAGCAGUAGGGAAUCUUCCGCAAUGGACGAAAGUCUGACGGAGCAACGCCGCGUGAGUGAUGAAGGUUUUCGGAUCGUAAAGCUCUGUUGUUAGGGAAGAACAAGUGCCGUUCAAAUAGGGCGGCACCUUGACGGUACCUAACCAGAAAGCCACGGCUAACUACGUGCCAGCAGCCGCGGUAAUACGUAGGUGGCAAGCGUUGUCCGGAAUUAUUGGGCGUAAAGGGCUCGCAGGCGGUUUCUUAAGUCUGAUGUGAAAGCCCCCGGCUCAACCGGGGAGGGUCAUUGGAAACUGGGGAACUUGAGUGCAGAAGAGGAGAGUGGAAUUCCACGUGUAGCGGUGAAAUGCGUAGAGAUGUGGAGGAACACCAGUGGCGAAGGCGACUCUCUGGUCUGUAACUGACGCUGAGGAGCGAAAGCGUGGGGAGCGAACAGGAUUAGA
This 600-nucleotide ribosomal RNA is filed under the name Bacillus siamensis. Its description in RNAcentral is "bacterial SSU rRNA". It matches the Rfam family "Bacterial small subunit ribosomal RNA", at positions 196 to 782 of the family's 1533-position model. The record is from RNAcentral. Lineage: Bacteria; Bacillati; Bacillota; Bacilli; Caryophanales; Bacillaceae.